GGGUUGUGAGGUUAAGCGACUAAGCGUACACGGUGGAUGCCCUGGCAGUCAGAGGCGAUGAAGGACGUGCUAAUCUGCGAUAAGCGCCGGUAAGGUGAUAUGAACCGUUAUAACCGGCGAUUUCCGAAUGGGGAAACCCAGUGUGAUUCGUCACACUAUCAUUAACUGAAUCCAUAGGUUAAUGAGGCGAACCGGGGGAACUGAAACAUCUAAGUACCCCGAGGAAAAGAAAUCAACCGAGAUUCCCCCAGUAGCGGCGAGCGAACGGGGAGGAGCCCAGAGCCUGAAUCAGCAUGUGUGUUAGUGGAAGCGUCUGGAAAGGCGCGCGAUACAGGGUGACAGCCCCGUACACAAAAGCGCAUGUGCUGUGAGCUCGAUGAGUAGGGCGGGACACGUGGUAUCCUGUCUGAAUAUGGGGGGACCAUCCUCCAAGGCUAAAUACUCCUGACUGACCGAUAGUGAACCAGUACCGUGAGGGAAAGGCGAAAAGAACCCCGGCGAGGGGAGUGAAAAAGAACCUGAAACCGUGUACGUACAAGCAGUGGGAGCACCCUUUGGGGUGUGACUGCGUACCUUUUGUAUAAUGGGUCAGCGACUUAUAUUCUGUAGCAAGGUUAACCGUAUAGGGGAGCCGCAGGGAAACCGAGUCUUAACCGGGCGUUAAGUUGCAGGGUAUAGACCCGAAACCCGGUGAUCUAGCCAUGGGCAGGUUGAAGGUUGGGUAACACUAACUGGAGGACCGAACCGACUAAUGUUGAAAAAUUAGCGGAUGACCUGUGGCUGGGGGUGAAAGGCCAAUCAAACCGGGAGAUAGCUGGUUCUCCCCGAAAGCUAUUUAGGUAGCGCCUCGUGAA
RNAcentral lists this ribosomal RNA (854 nucleotides) under Salmonella enterica subsp. enterica serovar Agama. Its description in RNAcentral is "partial 23S ribosomal RNA". It matches the Rfam family "Bacterial large subunit ribosomal RNA", at positions 1 to 888 of the family's 2925-position model. Lineage: Bacteria; Pseudomonadati; Pseudomonadota; Gammaproteobacteria; Enterobacterales; Enterobacteriaceae. The record is from RNAcentral.